Molecule: transfer RNA, 70 nt
Filed under: Saurogobio immaculatus
Lineage: Eukaryota; Metazoa; Chordata; Actinopteri; Cypriniformes; Gobionidae
Description: tRNA-Arg
Rfam family: tRNA
About the family: Transfer RNA (tRNA) molecules are approximately 80 nucleotides in length.
Source: RNAcentral
AGGAAGUUAGUCCAAAACAAGACCUCUGAUUUCGGCUCAGAAGAUUGUGGUUUAAACCCACAGCUCCCUU